GGAUAUUGCACAAUGGGCGCAAGCCUGAUGCAGCAACGCCGCGUGAGCGAUGAAGGCCUUCGGGUCGUAAAGCUCUUUUCGGGGUGACGAGACAAGGACGGUAGCCCCGGACUAAGUCUCGGCUAACUACGUGCCAGCAGCCGCGGUAAAACGUAGGAGGCAAACGUUAUCCGGAGUUACUGGGCGUAAAGCGCGUGUAGGCGGUUGGGCAAGUUCGGCGUGAAAGCUCCCGGCUAAACUGGGAGAUUGCGUUGGAAACUACCUGACUGGAGUGCGGCAGAGGAGUAGGGAAUUCCGGGUGUAGUGGUGAAAUGCGUAGAUAUCCGGAGGAACACCAGUGGCGAAGGCGCUGCUCUGGGCCGUAACUGACGCUGAGACGCGAAAGCGUGGGGAGCGAACGGG
Molecule: ribosomal RNA, 402 nt
Filed under: uncultured bacterium
Lineage: Bacteria
Description: bacterial SSU rRNA
Rfam family: Bacterial small subunit ribosomal RNA
Source: RNAcentral